UACGAAGGGGGCGAGCGUUGUUCGGAAUUACUGGGCGUAAAGGGCGCGCAGGCGGUCCUUCAAGUCAGAUGUGAAAGCCCCGGGCUCAACCUGGGAACUGCAUUUGAGACUGGAGGACUUGAGGACGGGAGAGGAGAGUGGAAUUCCCAGUGUAGAGGUGAAAUUCGUAGAUAUUGGGAAGAACACCGAUGGCGAAGGCAGCUCUCUGGACCGUUACUGACGCUGAUGCGCGAAAGCUAGGGGAGCAAACAGG
Molecule: ribosomal RNA, 253 nt
Filed under: uncultured bacterium
Lineage: Bacteria
Description: partial 16S ribosomal RNA
Rfam family: Bacterial small subunit ribosomal RNA
Source: RNAcentral